This 272-nucleotide ribosomal RNA is filed under the name uncultured Streptococcus sp. RNAcentral describes it as "partial 16S ribosomal RNA". It matches the Rfam family "Bacterial small subunit ribosomal RNA", at positions 1110 to 1382 of the family's 1533-position model. Lineage: Bacteria; Bacillati; Bacillota; Bacilli; Lactobacillales; Streptococcaceae. The record is from RNAcentral.
GUUAGUUGUCCAUCAUUCAGUUGGGCACUCUAGCGAGACUGCCGGUAAUAAACCGGAGGAAGGUGGGAUGACGUCAAAUCAUCAUGCCCCUUAUGACCUGGGCUACACACGUGCUACAAUGGUUGGUACAACGAGUUGCGAGUCGGUGACGGCGAGCUAAUCUCUUAAAGCCAAUCUCAGUUCGGAUUGUAGGCUGCAACUCGCCUACAUGAAGUCGGAAUCGCUAGUAAUCGCGGAUCAGCACGCCGCGGUCGAAUACGUUCCCGGGCCUU